AGACCUGGCUGGGCGGUCUGCCUAACGGUAUGUACUGUCCGGCUGGGUCUUACCUCUUGGUGAGCCGGCAUGCCCUUCACUGGGUGUGUCGGGGAACCAGACUUUUACCUUGAAAAAUUAAGUGUUCAAAGCAGGCUUAUGCCCGAAUACAUUAGCAUGGAAUAAUAAAAUAGGACGUGCGGUUCUAUUUUGUUGGUUUCCAGAGUCGCCGUAAUGAUUAAUAGGGAUAGUUGGGGGCAUUAUAUUCCGUUGCUAGAGGUGAAAUUCUUGGAUUUACGGAAGACUAACUAUUGCGAAAGCAUUUGCCAAGGAUGUUUUCAUUACUCAAGAACGAAGGUUAGGGAUCGAAAACGAUCAGAUACCGUUGUAGUCUUCAACAGUAAACUAUGGCCCGACUAGGGAUCGGGCGAACUCAUUUGAUGUGUCGCUCGGCACCUUACGAGAAAUCAAAGUCUUUGGGUUCUGGGGGGAGUAUGAUCGCAAGGCUGAAACUUAAAGGAAUUGACGGAAGGGCACCACCAGGUUGGAGCCUGCGGCGUAAUUUGACUCAACACGGGGAAACUCACCAGGUCCAGACAUGACUAGGAUUGACAGAUUCGAUAGCUCUUUCACGAUUUUAUCGGUUGUUGGUCGCAUGGCCGUUCUUAGAUUGGUGGAGUGAUUCUGCUCUGGCUAAUUGCAGAUAACGAACGAGACGUUAACCUGUAAAUAGCCAGGCCGGCCUUUUGCUGUUGUCGCCGGCUUCUUAGAGGGACUGUCUGCGUCUAGCAGACGGAAGUUUGAGGCAAUAACAGGUCUGUGAUGCCCUUAGAUGUUCUAGGGCCGCACGCGCGUACAUGACAGAGCCAGCGAGUUUUUUUCCCUGGCCAGGAAGGUCUGGGUAAUCUUGUGAAACUCUGUCGUGCUGGGGAUAGAGCAUUGCAUUAUUGCUCUUCAACGAGGA
Molecule: ribosomal RNA, 943 nt
Filed under: uncultured eukaryote
Lineage: Eukaryota
Description: SSU rRNA
Rfam family: Eukaryotic small subunit ribosomal RNA
Source: RNAcentral